This 1355-nucleotide ribosomal RNA is filed under the name uncultured marine eukaryote. Its description in RNAcentral is "SSU rRNA". It matches the Rfam family "Eukaryotic small subunit ribosomal RNA", at positions 411 to 1779 of the family's 1831-position model. The record is from RNAcentral.
CACUUCUAAGGAAGGCAGCAGGCGCGCAAAUUACCCAAUCCUGACUCAGGGAGGUAGUGACAAGAAAUAACAAUAAACCGGCUUAUGCCGGUUUAAUUGGAAUGAGUACAAUUUAAACAUCUUAACGAGGAACAAUUGGAGGGCAAGUCUGGUGCCAGCAGCCGCGGUAAUUCCAGCUCCAAUAGCGUAUACUAAAGUUGUUGCAGUUAAAAAGCUCGUAGUUGGAUUUCUGUGGGGACGGAGCGGCCGGCCGCAACUCGCGGUUCGAGCUAGCGCUUUCCCUACAUCCUGCCGCGAACCGUGCUACCAUUAAUUUGGUGGCGCCGGGGAUCGGCUCGAUUACUUUGAGAAAAAUAGAGUGUUCAAAGCAGGCCACACGCCUUGAAUAAGUUAGCAUGGAAUAAUAACUAAGGACUUCGGUUCUAUUUUGUUGGUGUUCGGGACUGAAGUAAUGAUUGAUAGGGACAGUUGGGGCGGUCUGUAUUCCAAAGCGAGAGGUGAAAUUCUUAGACCUUCGGAAGACAAACAGCUGCGAAAGCGUUCCGCAAGGAUGUUCCCUUUGAUCAAGAACGAAAGUUGGGGGAUCGAAGACGAUCAGAUACCGUCGUAGUCUCAACUAUAAACUAUACCAGCUAGGGAUCGGCCAACGUUAUUUAAACCGACUUGGUCGGCACCUUAUGAGAAAUCAAAGCAUCUGGGUUCCGGGGGGAGUAUGGUCGCAAGGCUGAAACUUAAAGGAAUUGACGGAAGGGCACCACCAGCCGUGGAGCCUGUGGCUUAAUUUGACUCAACACGGGAAAACUUACCAGGUCCAGACAUAGUAAGGAUUGACAGAUUGAUAGCUCUUUCUUGAUUCUGUGGGUGGUGGUGCAUGGCCGUUCUUAGUUGGUGGAGUGAUAUGUCUGGUUAAUUCCGUUAACGAACGAGACCCCAGCCUGCUAAAUAGCGCGUGUGAGCUUUGCUCGCAGCGAGCUUCUUAGAGGGACUAUGAUGCGCGAUAGCACAUGGAAGUUUGGGGCAAUAACAGGUCUGUGAUGCCCUUAGAUGUUCUGGGCCGCACACGGGCUACACUGGCGCCUGCAACGAGCAUAUCAGCUGGCCCGAGAGGGUCUUGGCUAAUCUUUUGAACCGGCGCCGUGCUUGGGAUUGACCUUUGCAAUUGUUGGUCAUGCAACGAGGAAUGCCUUGUAAACGCGAGUCAUCAGCUCGCAUUGAAUACGUCCCUGCCCUUUGUACACACCGCCCGUCGCUCCUACCGAUGAAUGUUCCGAUGAAAUUUUCGGAGAGUGCCUGUGAACUUGGCUCUGCCUUGCGAACGGGAAGCUCAAAGUCACUUAAAUCUGAACAUUUCGAGG